Molecule: ribosomal RNA, 500 nt
Filed under: uncultured bacterium
Lineage: Bacteria
Description: partial 16S ribosomal RNA
Rfam family: Bacterial small subunit ribosomal RNA
Source: RNAcentral
AUUGAACGCUGGCGGCAUGCUUUACACAUGCAAGUCGAACGGUAGCAGGGUGCUUGCACCGCUGACGAGUGGCGAACGGGUGAGUAAUGCGUCGGAACGUGCCGAGUAGUGGGGGAUAACGCAGCGAAAGUUGUGCUAAUACCGCAUACGUACUGAGGUAGAAAGUGGGGGACCUUCGGGCCUCACGCUAUUCGAGCGGCCGACGUCGGAUUAGCUAGUAGGUGAGGUAAAGGCUCACCUAGGCGACGAUCAGUAGCGGGUCUGAGAGGAUGGUCCGCCACACUGGGACUGAGACACGGCCCAGACUCCUACGGGAGGCAGCAGUGGGGAAUUUUGGACAAUGGGCGAAAGCCUGAUCCAGCCAUGCCGCGUGUCUGAAGAAGGCCUUCGGGUUGUAAAGGACUUUUGUCAGGGAGGAAAUCCCUAGUGCUAAUAACACUGGGGGAUGACAGUACCUGAAGAAUAAGCACCGGCUAACUACGUGCCAGCCGCCGCCGUAA